UCUUAUCUGGUGCUGCAGUCCUGGUCCAGCCCACAGUCAGCAUUCACCCCCUGAAAUUUGGCCUCCUUUCCUUCUGCCUUACUGCACCUCAUAUGUGUCAGAUUUCCUCUUAGUUAAGAGUUGGUCUCCUGGAGGGCACCAAUCCAAAUGAGUUCAUGUCUGCACUGAACUAUUUCCUUCUCAGAACAGUCAUGAAACAACUUAGCAAGCAAAUAGGGCAGGGAGAGCUGCUUAAUGGAUCCCUUUAAUCGACAGAAAUCUAGUUCUUAAUGGAGCAAUGUCUGUCAAUCAGACCAAGUACAAAACACUCAUCAAAUUCUCUCCUUUCUCUUCCUCUUAACUUUUUAAAGCUGUUGCCUCCUUCCUUGCUGAAUGAAGGUGAGAACAGGAGUGGGAGUGAGAAUGAAAGUAAACUGCAGUUCUGGAAGCAAAUUUUCAAAAUGUCAGGAGUGAUGAAAUACUGAGCAGUCAAGGGGAUCCUCUCAGGAAUACUGGAGAGUGAAACCAGAGCUGGAAUCUCCUUGGUUGUUGGCCUAUGUGCCUAUAAGAAGUUGCCACAGAGUGCUGAAGGACAAAUAUGGAGAGUUUUCUCCUCCAGCAUUCCAUGCUGAUUUCCCUGUAAGCUUUUGGUGCAACUGGACAAUCUGGGCAGGCUCCAGGAAGCACAUCAUAAUUUAUAUCCAGGGAUUCAUCGCUAAGGAUGCUUGCAACAAAAAUGAGGACAAAAUUCUGUUUGAAGGCGUAUCCUCCC
Molecule: non-coding RNA, 751 nt
Organism: Lonchura striata (white-rumped munia)
Lineage: Eukaryota; Metazoa; Chordata; Aves; Passeriformes; Estrildidae
Source: RefSeq, a predicted model, not a curated record